Non-coding RNA from Misgurnus anguillicaudatus (oriental weatherfish), 891 nucleotides. The record is from RefSeq and is a predicted model, not a curated record. NCBI's taxonomy places the organism in Eukaryota, Metazoa, Chordata, Actinopteri, Cypriniformes, Cobitidae.
UUCCCCGCCAGCCAUUUUUUGUGUUUUUCACAAAAGUUACACAAAAUGCCUUCCACGAAAAAUUUUCUUCUAAAAAUAUAUAAACAUACAAAUAUAUCAAAUUAAAGAACAGACACUCUGCUUUCACACAAACAAACAAACAAGCAAAACGGGGGGGGGGGGGGGGCAUCCUAUCUAUAGUUUUCAAAAAGCUGAAAUAAUAGCAUUUUUGUGAAGGAAUUUUGUAAGAGAUCAGAUUCAGAAUGAUUAUCAAAACAUACACAGAGUUUAAAAUUAGUAAAUAACAUUUUGGCUUCAGUUUUUUCAUAAAUCGGGUAAUCGUGGUAUUGUAGAUGUAAGAUUAAAAAUAUAGGAAUGUAUUACUUGGUCACAACUUGUCACAACCCCCUGUGCUGAUAGUGAUCAAAGACUAUUGUCACAGCUGUUUAUCCAAUACAAUGGGGGUUAAAGGUGGUCUUCUGAUUGGUCAGUUUGAAUGUAUUAUGUUGGGUUUGGUCAAGUACAGUGGGGGUUAAAGGUGAUCUUCUGAUUGGUCAAUUUGAAUGUAUCAAGUUAGGUUUAGUCACAUGGUCAAGAGAUAGAGAAUAAGGGUCAAUGUUUUUAUGAGCUCUGGGCUUUUGCAUUUCGGCUUUUGCCUUUGCCUUUUCCCCUUUCCUUUCUUUCUUCACCUAAGUUCUGGGGUUCGGGCCAUUAGGCCUAGAUUUCAGUUCUCAAGUGUGAAUCUCUUUCUUCUAAACUUUCUUUCUCUGUUCUCUAUCUUAUCAGGUAAUAUCUCACAUACAUUGGAAACAGUCAAUUGUUUGUAUUAUUUAACAUUUCAUGCAUUUAUAGUGUAACCAUUUCAACUGUAACUUUAAGUCAGUACUGUAAUUAAACCUUUUCAUUUACAAA